CGUCCGAUGCCACGUAGCCGGUGGCCAAUGGCGUUGACCGGCGACGGUAUGAUUGGACGGAAUCAAAUUCAUAUUCCGCCUGGUUUCUGUUGAUCCACGGAGCCGUUUUCGGCGAUUACAUUU
Molecule: non-coding RNA, 123 nt
Organism: Jatropha curcas
Lineage: Eukaryota; Viridiplantae; Streptophyta; Magnoliopsida; Malpighiales; Euphorbiaceae
Source: Rfam